ACGCUCGACACCUACGGGAGGCAGCAGUGGGGAAUAUUGCACAAUGGGGGAAACCCUGAUGCAGCGACGCCGCGUGAGUGAAGAAGUAUUUCGGUAUGUAAAGCUCUAUCAGCAGGGAAGAAGAUGACGGUACCUGAGUAAGAAGCCCCGGCUAACUACGUGCCAACAGCCGCGGUAAUCUGAGCGGCUGGCAAGGC
This 197-nucleotide ribosomal RNA is filed under the name uncultured bacterium. Its description in RNAcentral is "partial 16S ribosomal RNA". It matches the Rfam family "Bacterial small subunit ribosomal RNA", at positions 328 to 539 of the family's 1533-position model. The record is from RNAcentral.